GAUGCCAGCUUGCUGGUGGAUUAGUGGCGAACGGGUGAGUAACACGUGAGUAACCUGCCCUUAACUCUGGGAUAAGCCUGGGAAACUGGGUCUAAUACCGGAUAUGACCUUCCAUCGCAUGGUGGUUGGUGGAAAGCUUUUUGUGGUUUUGGAUGGACUCGCGGCCUAUCAGCUUGUUGGUGAGGUAAUGGCUUACCAAGGCGACGACGGGUAGCCGGCCUGAGAGGGUGACCGGCCACACUGGGACUGAGACACGGCCCAGACUCCUACGGGAGGCAGCAGUGGGGAAUAUUGCACAAUGGGCGCAAGCCUGAUGCAGCGACGCCGCGUGAGGGAUGACGGCCUUCGGGUUGUAAACCUCUUUCAGUAGGGAAGAAGCGAAAGUGACGGUACCUGCAGAAGAAGCGCCGGCUAACUACGUGCCAGCAGCCGCGGUAAUACGUAGGGCGCAAGCGUUAUCCGGAAUUAUUGGGCGUAAAGAGCUCGUAGGCGGUUUGUCGCGUCUGCCGUGAAAGUCCGGGGCUCAACUCCGGAUCUGCGGUGGGUACGGGCAGACUAGAGUGAUGUAGGGGAGACUGGAAUUCCUGGUGUAGCGGUGAAAUGCGCAGAUAUCAGGAGGAACACCGAUGGCGAAGGCAGGUCUCUGGGCAUUAACUGACGCUGAGGAGC
Molecule: ribosomal RNA, 669 nt
Filed under: bacterium
Lineage: Bacteria
Description: bacterial SSU rRNA
Rfam family: Bacterial small subunit ribosomal RNA
Source: RNAcentral